RNAcentral lists this ribosomal RNA (257 nucleotides) under uncultured bacterium. RNAcentral describes it as "partial 16S ribosomal RNA". It matches the Rfam family "Bacterial small subunit ribosomal RNA", at positions 526 to 779 of the family's 1533-position model. The record is from RNAcentral.
CGGAGGGGCGUAGCGUUGUUCGGAAUUACUGGGCGUAAAGCGCACGUAGGCGGACUGGAAAGUUGGGGUGGAAAUCCCGGGGCGUCAACCUCGGAACUGCCUUCAAAACUAUCGGUCUGGAGUUUCGAGAGAGGUGAGUGGAAUUCCGAGUGUAGAGGUGAAAUUCGUAGAUAUUCGGAGGAACACCAGUGGCGAAGGCGGCUCACUGGCUCGAUACUGACGCUGAGGUGCGAAAGCGUGGGGGAGCAAACAGGAUU